UACGAGGGGGGCGAGCGUUGUUCGGAAUUACUGGGCGUAAAGCGCACGUAGGCGGCUUUGUAAGUUAGAGGUGAAAGCCCAGGGCUUAACCCUGGAAUUGCCUUUAAGACUGCAUCGCUAGAAUCGUGGAGAGGUGAGUGGAAUUCCGAGUGUAGAGGUGAAAUUCGUAGAUAUUCGGAAGGACACCAGUGGCGAAGGCGGCUCACUGGCCCGUUACCGACGCUCAGGCGCGACAGCGUGGGGAGCAAACAGG
Molecule: ribosomal RNA, 253 nt
Filed under: uncultured bacterium
Lineage: Bacteria
Description: partial 16S ribosomal RNA
Rfam family: Bacterial small subunit ribosomal RNA
Source: RNAcentral